Molecule: ribosomal RNA, 274 nt
Filed under: uncultured bacterium
Lineage: Bacteria
Description: partial 16S ribosomal RNA
Rfam family: Bacterial small subunit ribosomal RNA
Source: RNAcentral
AUACAGAGGGUGCGAGCGUUAAUCGGAAUUACUGGGCGUAAAGCGCGCGUAGGCGGCUUGGUCAGUCGGAUGUGAAAGCCCCGGGCUCAACCCGGGAAUGGCAUUCGAUACUGCCAGGCUAGAGUAUGGGAGAGGGAAGUGGAAUUUCCGGUGUAGCGGUGAAAUGCGUAGAUAUCGGAAGGAACACCAGUGGCGAAGGCGACUUCCUGGCCCAAUACUGACGCUGAGGUGCGAAAGCGUGGGGAGCGAACAGGAUUAGAAACCCCAGUAGUCC